CCCAACUCCCACCCUCCAGAAAUUCUCUGAGCUCUUGCAGAUGUAUCAGGAAUGGAGUGGGGAAGGGAGUUUGGGGCAAGCGAGAGGCAGCAUUUGGGAAAAUGGGGAUGUGUGUCUGUCUAGUCUGUCUGUCUACCCAUUCACUCAUUUGUUCCGUCACCCGCCUUACCAAGUGUUCCAUGUCGUCCACGGAUCCUUCAGUUGUCUUUCCCUGUGACGCCUCCUCUCUCUGAGAUUCCUCUCCUCCUGCAGGCUAGCUUCUGUCCUUCAACCCCAGGGCUGCAGUUUUGUCUUUCCAAACUCGACUGGAAUCAGAUCUGAUCAUCGGAAUUCUCCCGUCUCCAAUAAAAAGAUUAACAGCUAGGACCGGUAGGAAAGGAUCAGCAUAGGAAUGGCUAUGUUGUAAUCAUCACCUUGAUGAGAAACACUGCGUCUCAAGAUUGGUUGACACAUGAUGAGUGUGCCUUGUAUAUUUAAUCUUCUUAAUGAAAUCCCAGGGAAAAUACCAACCCUGCCACUAAUGACAGUAAACGGGCUUGGCUCUCACAGAGUGCUCCUACUCCUGGGAGCACAAAGCGCUUCAUGAUUAAUUAUUUCAGUCAUUCUCACCGUUGUCCCAUGAGGUGGGUGACUGAGUGCUUCCUUUAAAAAAAAAAAAAAAAGAAAUUAAUUGUACUUUCUUCUGUUCUACAUUCUGUGUUCUAGAACUAAGUAGCUACCUUAUAAAGAGCCUCCGUAUGUCCACGGGUGGCCCUGGCUUUCAGAGUCACCAGCCGCUUUUGGAUACAAACCCCAAGCUCAGAGCAGAUGUGGGGGAGUAAAGUCGGAGGGAGUUUGGAUGGGAGGUUGGCAGGAUGCCACGCGUUGGAUGGCCUGGAGCUGGUGAAGACAGAGGGCGAUGGCCGAGCUGGUGCUUUGGGACCUCCGUUAGAAGUGGUGAUCUGGGCCGUGGAAGGUUUGCCUUUGAAAAUAUCUUCCUGAGGCCCUUCUUCAUUAUGCUGACUCUUCCCACAACAUUGUUGCUGGGGUCCUGGAGAAAGCUGCCAGUCCAGUUUUCCAGAGAGGACGCUGGUCCUUUCUCAUCCUGCUCUGAUCUUAGCAGCUGGGGGCUUCACAGGGACAAGAGGAAGGUGAGGUGUCGGAAACCCUCAGUAAUGCCUCUCAGCCCGUCUCCAUCCUCCAGCGAGCCUCCGUUUCUCUGCCAGGCUCGCCGUCCUCUUGCUUCCACCUCCUCAAAAAUGGACGGCCGCCUCUCGGGAUGCCUCUUGCCGGGGAGCAGGGAUGCUCGAAAGCUCCGGCCCUGCCUGGUGCUCGCCGCCUCCUUCCUUUACACUGUGCCAUUCAGUUCUAGUUCUGUCUCUUCAGUUAGACGGCCAGGUCUGGGGCCAUGUUUAGGUCACUGUAUUUUUGGUUUCCACUCCUUUUAAUUAAUUGCCCCUGCGUAGCCCUCAGCGCUG
RNAcentral lists this long non-coding RNA (1457 nucleotides) under Equus asinus (donkey). RNAcentral describes it as "lncRNA (ENSEASG00005037583.1)". Lineage: Eukaryota; Metazoa; Chordata; Mammalia; Perissodactyla; Equidae. The record is from RNAcentral.